RNAcentral lists this ribosomal RNA (800 nucleotides) under uncultured bacterium. RNAcentral describes it as "bacterial SSU rRNA". It matches the Rfam family "Bacterial small subunit ribosomal RNA", at positions 8 to 841 of the family's 1533-position model. The record is from RNAcentral.
AGAGUUUGAUCCUGGCUCAGAAUCAACGCUGGCGGCGCGCCUAACACAUGCAAGUCGAACGAGAAAGGGGAGCAAUCCCUGAGUACAGUGGCGUACGGGUGAGUAACACGUGGGUAAUCUGCCUCUUAGUGGGGAAUAACGCUGGGAAACCGGCGCUAAUACCGCAUAAGCCCGAGAGGGGAAAGCAGCAAUGCGCUGAGAGAGGAGCCCGCGGCCGAUUAGCUGGUUGGUGAGGUAACGGCCCACCAAGGCAAAGAUCGGUAGCCGGCCUGAGAGGGCACACGGCCACACUGGCACUGAAGCACGGGCCAGACUCCUACGGGAGGCAGCAGUGGGGAAUCUUGCACAAUGGGGGAAACCCUGAUGCAGCGACGCCGCGUGAGCGAUGAAGCCCUUCGGGGUGUAAAGCUCUUUCGGCAGGGAAGAUGAUGACGGUACCUGCAGAAGCAGCUGCGGCUAACUACGUGCCAGCAGCCGCGGUAAUACGUAGGCAGCAAGCGUUGUUCGGAGUUACUGGGCGUAAAGGGUGUGUAGGCGGUUCUUUAAGUUUGGUGUGAAAUCUCCCGGCUCAACCGGGAGGGUGCGCCGAAUACUGAGGAGCUAGAGUGCGGGAGAGGAGAGUGGAAUUCCUGGUGUAGCGGUGAAAUGCGUAGAUAUCAGGAGGAACACCGGUGGUGUAAACGGCUCUCUGGACCGUAACUGACGCUGAGACACGAAAGCGUGGGUAGCAAACAGGAUUAGAUACCCUGGUAGUCCACGCCCUAAACGAUGCAUAUUUGGUGUGGGUCAUUCAGUUGAUC